Lynx canadensis (Canada lynx) is the source of this 755-nucleotide RNA transcript. RefSeq lists it as uncharacterized. The transcript is spliced from 3 exons. Lineage: Eukaryota; Metazoa; Chordata; Mammalia; Carnivora; Felidae. The record is from RefSeq and is a predicted model, not a curated record.
GAGCCGCUCUGGCCCCUCCCGUUAGAAACGCCGGGGUGGGCGUGGCCGCUGACAUCAUAGAGCGGAGCCCGCCGUCGGAGCCCCGAAAUCCCUCAGCGCCCUCAGGUCCUCGCGGGAUUCGCUGGUUCCUGUGUAUCUGAGUCCCUGGGUUCUGCGAAGAAGGGCUUCCGACCAGGAAGUAGCUUCGGACGUGGGCGGCCUUUCGUCUCUACCCGCGGCGUUUGGAGAGGUCCUGGUUCAGGUCCUGGGUCCCCAGGAGCAAGAGAGGUCAAGUGAAGGAAUGAGGGAAGAAAGAGGAAGUUCUUGGACUUGGCUAUCAUUGCUUCUGGGGAGAACUUCAAGGGGACACCAAGAUUUCUGACUCUAAGAACUUCGUGGCAGAUGCAGGAGACACCAAAGUCAUAGAAUCCACGUUACUGCUUCCUGAGCACAGAAGAAAAUGAUCAAGGCCCAGUAUUUGAAAAUGGUGCUUAUGUAGUCAACUAGUCUUUGACAAAGCAAGAAAAAAUAUCCAGCGUGGGGAAAAAAGCCUAUUCAACAACCGGUGUUGGGAAAACUGGACAGCUACGUGCAGAAGAAUGAAACUGGACCACUUUCUUAUACCAUACACAAAAAUAAAUUCAAAAUGGAUGAAAGAUCUAGAUGUGAGACAGGACACCAUCAAAAUCUUGGAAGAGAACACUGGCAGCAACUUCUUUGACCUUGGCCGUAGCAACUUCUUACUAGAUACAUCUCCAGAGGCAAGGGAAGUAAAA